Long non-coding RNA from Lycium barbarum (goji berry), 887 nucleotides. RefSeq lists it as uncharacterized. The record is from RefSeq and is a predicted model, not a curated record. NCBI's taxonomy places the organism in Eukaryota, Viridiplantae, Streptophyta, Magnoliopsida, Solanales, Solanaceae. The transcript is spliced from 3 exons.
GACCCAAGGUAAGUCUCACUUUGCAGUUUUAAAACCAGUCAUUUAUUUUCCUCUUUCCGCUAAAAACACUCCCUUUCCCUCACUCCCUCGCCCACGCUUAACACGCCAGUACGCCACCAGCUUUAGACCAGCAACCAUCUGAGACACCGCUAAACCAUGGGAAUGGGAUGCUUGCCCUCAGUAAGGACCUACUUGAUCAAAACAUGGAAUUUCCAAAGGUUCAAAUGAGGUAGGCGAGUGUAAAGGAUAAUCCUUCUCAGUAAAAUAUCUUAACAAAUUGGAUCCUCUAAAACAAUGUAAUAACCUUAGCGCAGUGUUACCAGAGGUAAUUAAUUAAUUUAUUCCACUGAAUUGUCCUUUUGGUAUAGAUGAACGUAAUAUUUGACGUUUCCAAAAUGUAAAUGUGAAAUUUUGUACAUCAGGUGGAAUACUGUCUUGAUUGAUGCAAGUAGAUAUAUUGUCUAUGCUCCUGGUGAAUGUGCCUUAUACGUUCACCACAAUUGAUUUGGCAACUUCUGUCGUAUAUGAUAUGCUUUAUCCCAUUGUUUUAAGACUUUAAGAGAUAUCUUCACCUUAUCAGAAGAAAAGGUGUGUGGUGGACUAAAGAAGUUCAUUUUUUUAUAUUAAGAUGUUCUGUGUCAUUUCCUUUGAACUCAAUUCCAGUGAAUGAAGACCACAUGUUGAUGCAUGUGUCAUGUUAUCUUAUGCUAGAAGAUCUGAAUUCUUUCGUUUAAAUAGGGAGUAUAACAACUAUCUUCAAUGUUAUAGGGAGUUUGGUUUAAACGUUCCUUUCCAGUUAAGCUCUCAAAUAUCACAAGUAACUCGUGAUGUCGUCACACAAUGCAACUGGUAUACAACUUUAGCUUGUCUUGUAAUUAGCUUUAUUC